This 1120-nucleotide ribosomal RNA is filed under the name Aquabacterium commune. RNAcentral describes it as "bacterial SSU rRNA". It matches the Rfam family "Bacterial small subunit ribosomal RNA", at positions 37 to 1157 of the family's 1533-position model. The record is from RNAcentral. Lineage: Bacteria; Pseudomonadati; Pseudomonadota; Betaproteobacteria; Burkholderiales; Sphaerotilaceae.
GGGUAGGGGGCAACAUACCAUGCUAGUCGAACGGUGCGGGCCUUCCGGCGCCGACGAGUGGCGAACGGCGGAGUAAUGCAUCGGAACGUGCCCAAUAGUGGGGGAUAGCCCGGCGAAAGCCGGAUUAAUACCGCAUGAACCCUGAGGGUGAAAGCGGGGGAUCCCCGACCUCGCGCUACUGGAGCGGGCGAUGUCAGAUUACCUAGGUGGUGGGGUAAAGGCCUACCGAGGCAACGAUCUGUCACUGGGCUGAAAAGACGACCCCCCCCCCUGGGACUGAGACACGGGCGGGACUCCUACGGGAGGGAGCAAUGGGGAAUUUUGGACAAUGCGCGCGAGCCUGAUCCGCCAAUGCCGUGUGCAGCUUUAAUGCCUUCGGGUUGUAAACUGCUUUUGUCAGGAAACACAUCCUCUGGGUUAGUACCUCGGGGCGAUGACAGUACCUGGGAAAUAGCCACCGGCUAACUACGUGCCUGCAGCCCCGGUAAUACGUAUGGUGCGAGCGUUAAUCGAAAUUACGGGGCUUAACGCGAGCUCUGGCUGCUUUGCUGGAUCGAUGGGAAAUCCCAGGGGUCAGCCUGUCAACUGGUUUAGUGACUGCAAGGCUAGAUUACGGCAAACGCGGAUGGAAUUCCGCGUGCACCAGUGAAAUGCUUAGAUAUGCAGACGAACACCGAUGGCGAACGCAAUCCCCUGGACCUGUACUGACGCUCAUGCACAAAAGCGUGGGGAGCAAACAGGAUUAGAUACCCUGGUAGUCCACGCCCUAAACGAUGUCAACUGGCCGUUGGACGGCUUGCUGUUCAGUAACGAAGCUAACGCGUGAAGUUGACCGCCUGGAGAGUACGGGCGCGAGGGUGAAUCUCUAGGACUUGACGGAGACUCGCACAAGCGGUGGACGAUGUGGUUAAAUCCAUGCAGCGCGAACUACCCUAUCCACGCAUUGACAUGACAAGAUCUUGCAGAUAUGUGAAACUGCUCUAAGAGAUCUUGAUCAAUGUGCUGCAUGACCGACGUCAUCUUCUUAUCGUGCGAUGUUUGAGUUUAGGUCCUCCAACGAGGCAACACCCGUGGUCAUUACCUCGCUGCAAAAGGGCGCUCACAAUCGAGACCUUCCAUG